This 253-nucleotide ribosomal RNA is filed under the name uncultured bacterium. Its description in RNAcentral is "partial 16S ribosomal RNA". It matches the Rfam family "Bacterial small subunit ribosomal RNA", at positions 524 to 776 of the family's 1533-position model. The record is from RNAcentral.
UACGGAGGGUGCAAACGUUGCUCGGAAUCAUUGGGCGUAAAGCGCACGUAGGCGGCUCGUUAAGUCGGAUGUGAAAGCCCUGGGCUCAACCCAGGAAGUGCAUACGAAACUGGCGAGCUUGAAUAUGGAAGAGGGUCGCGGAAUUCCCGGUGUAGAGGUGAAAUUCGUAGAUAUCGGGAGGAACACCAGUGGCGAAGGCGGCGACCUGGGCCAAUAUUGACGCUGAGGUGCGAAAGCGUGGGGAGCGAACAGG